CAGCACCAGCUUUGUUCUCCUGUUUAAUGGUGUGGAGACAUUCAUCAGUGCAUCAGUUGCAGAUGGACCAGUGACCUACACCGUCUCAUCUCUCACUCCUGGAACAAGCUACACAUUCACUCUGUUCUCUGUUCUUGACAACGUCAGGAGCAGUGGAGUCAGUAUUACAGCAGCUACUGAUCCUUGUACCAGCUGUCAAUGUUGUGCUUUGGGCACCGAGUGCAUCACCACCAAUGGAGUUGUUGAAUGUCUUGACCCCUGUGUGAACUCACUGUGGUGAAUGAUGCAUGGCGUUCAACAGAGAAUACAGACAAUUCAAUCUUACACUGUGACCAAAACAUUGUCUGGAGUGGUUGGUAUCGCUUUUAUUUGGGGCAAAGCAGCGCUCAGAUACCAGAGAAAUGUGUAGCAGAACAAAGAUGUGGAACUCAUGCUCCUUUGUGGAUAAAUGGGACUCAUCCAGUCCAGCUUAAUGAAACUGUAACUCGAACUGUGUGUAGCGCUUGGUCGGGUUCCUGCUGCCUUUUUCCCACACACACCAUCCAGAUCAAACUUUGUUAUGGAUUCUACGUCUACAAACUUCAACAGCCGUCUGCAUGUUGGCUGGCAUAUUGUGCAGAACCUCAACCCUUCAGAGUAUUGACACAAAGUGAGACCAGCAUCACUCUGCAGUGGAAUAAAAUCAACAACAACACCAGCUUUGUUCUCCAGUUUAACGGCACAGAGACAAACAUCAGUGCACCAGAUGGAGAUGGACCAGUGUACUACACGGUCACAUCUCUGACUGCUGGAACCACAUAUACAUUCAUA
Poeciliopsis prolifica (blackstripe livebearer) is the source of this 810-nucleotide long non-coding RNA. RefSeq lists it as uncharacterized. NCBI's taxonomy places the organism in Eukaryota, Metazoa, Chordata, Actinopteri, Cyprinodontiformes, Poeciliidae. The transcript has 3 exons. The record is from RefSeq and is a predicted model, not a curated record.